AUACGUAGGGUGCGAGCGUUGUCCGGAAUUACUGGGCGUAAAGAGCUCGUAGGUGGUUUGUCGCGUCGUCUGUGAAAUUCCGGGGCUUAACUCCGGGCGUGCAGGCGAUACGGGCAUAACUUGAGUACUGUAGGGGAGACUGGAAUUCCUGGUGUAGCGGUGAAAUGCGCAGGUAUCAGGAGGAACACCGGUGGCGAAGGCGGGUCUCUGGGCAGUAAUUGACGCUGAGGAGCGAAAGCAUGGGUAGCGAACAGGAUUAGAUACCCUGGUAGUCCAGGCCGUAAACGGUGGGCGCUAGGGGUAGGGGUCUUCCACGACUUCUGUGCCGUAGCUAACGCAUUAAGCGCCCCGCCUGGGGAGUACGGCCGCAAGGCUAAAACUCAAAUGAAUUGACGGGG
RNAcentral lists this ribosomal RNA (398 nucleotides) under uncultured bacterium. RNAcentral's name for it is "partial 16S ribosomal RNA". It matches the Rfam family "Bacterial small subunit ribosomal RNA", at positions 523 to 918 of the family's 1533-position model. The record is from RNAcentral.